RNAcentral lists this ribosomal RNA (770 nucleotides) under uncultured Nitrosomonadales bacterium. RNAcentral describes it as "bacterial SSU rRNA". It matches the Rfam family "Bacterial small subunit ribosomal RNA", at positions 562 to 1335 of the family's 1533-position model. Lineage: Bacteria; Pseudomonadati; Pseudomonadota; Betaproteobacteria; Nitrosomonadales. The record is from RNAcentral.
AAAGCGUGCGCAGGCGGAUUGUUAAGCAAGAUGUGAAAUCCCCGGGCUUAACCUGGGAAUGGCAUUUUGAACUGGCAGUCUAGAGUGCGUCAGAGGGGGGUGGAAUUCCACGUGUAGCAGUGAAAUGCGUAGAGAUGUGGAGGAACACCAAUGGCGAAGGCAGCCCCCUGGGAUGACACUGACGCUCAUGUACGAAAGCGUGGGUAGCAAACAGGAUUAGAUACCCUGGUAGUCCACGCCCUAAACGAUGUCAACUGGUUGUUGGGGGAGUGAAAUCCCUUAGUAACGAAGCUAACGCGUGAAGUUGACCGCCUGGGGAGUACGGUCGCAAGAUUAAAACUCAAAGGAAUUGACGGGGACCCGCACAAGCGGUGGAUGAUGUGGAUUAAUUCGAUGCAACGCGAAAAACCUUACCUACCCUUGACAUGUCCAGAAUCCUGCAGAGAUGCGGGAGUGCCCGAAAGGGAAUUGGAACACAGGUGCUGCAUGGCUGUCGUCAGCUCGUGUCGUGAGAUGUUGGGUUAAGUCCCGCAACGAGCGCAACCCUUAUCAUUAGUUGCUACGCAAGGGCACUCUAAUGAGACUGCCGGUGACAAACCGGAGGAAGGUGGGGAUGACGUCAAGUCCUCAUGGCCCUUAUGGGUAGGGCUUCACACGUCAUACAAUGGUCGGUACAGAGGGUUGCCAAGCCGCGAGGUGGAGCCAAUCCCAGAAAGCCGAUCGUAGUCCGGAUUGUUCUCUGCAACUCGAGAGCAUGAAGUCGGAAUCGC